This 515-nucleotide small RNA is filed under the name Pongo abelii (Sumatran orangutan). RNAcentral describes it as "processed transcript". Lineage: Eukaryota; Metazoa; Chordata; Mammalia; Primates; Hominidae. The record is from RNAcentral.
GACCGGGAACGGGGAGCGCGGCCGCCAGCACCCCCGAGCCGCCGCCGGACCCCCCCGUCGCCCCGGGCCGCCCCCGCCCCCUGCGGUCCCCGUACGAUGAGCUGCCGCACUACCCAGGCAUCGCGGAUGGCCCUGCAGCCCUGGCUGGCUUCCCAGAGGCAGUGCCCGCAGCACCAGGGCCCUAUGGCCCCCACCGGCCUCCCCAGCCCCUGCCCCCAGGCUUGGACAGCGACGGCCUGAAGAGGGAGAAGGAUGAGAUCUAUGGACACCCGCUCUUCCCCCUCUUGGCGCUGGUCUUUGAGAAAUGUGAACUGGCUACAUGCUGUCCCCGUGACGGGGCUGGAGCUGGGCUGCGGACACCCCCCGGCGGCGACGUCUGCUCCUCUGAUUCCUUCAACGAGGACAUCACAGCCUUCGCCAAGCAGGUUCGCUCUGAGAGGCCCCUCUUCUCCUCCAACCCAGAACUGGACAAUCUGAUGAUCCAGGCCAUCCAAGUGCUGCGAUUCCACCUGCUG